This is a long non-coding RNA of Salvelinus namaycush (lake trout), 2543 nucleotides long. RefSeq lists it as uncharacterized. The record is from RefSeq and is a predicted model, not a curated record. NCBI's taxonomy places the organism in Eukaryota, Metazoa, Chordata, Actinopteri, Salmoniformes, Salmonidae. The transcript has 3 exons.
UUCUGGACUUGAGGACUGUGAAGAGACCUCUUGUGGAAUGUCUUGUGGGGUAUGCAUGGUGUAACUAGGAGGAGAGGCCUCAUUUAACAUAUUAGUUUCAUCAGGUUUGAACCAUGUUUCAGUCAGGCCAAUCACAUCAAGAUUAUGAUCAGUGAUUAGUUCAUUGACUAUGACUGCCUUGGAAGUGAGGGAUCUAACAUUAAGUAGCCCUAUUUUGAGAUGUGAGAGAUUGCAAUCUCUUUCAAUAAUAACAGGAAUGGACGAGGGCCCUAUUCUAGUGAGAUUGCUAAGGUGAACACGGCUAUGUUUAGUUUUGCCCGACCUAGAUUGAGGCACAGAAUAGGGAAAGUUGUGUGGUCUCAAUGGGGAAAGCUGAGUUGACUAUACUGACUGUGGCAGUGACAGACUCCACUAAACUGGCAGGCUGACUAACUGCCUGCUGCCUGGCCUGCACCCUAUCUCAUUUUGGAUCUAGAGGAGUUAGAGCCUUGUCUAUGUUGAUAUAAAAGAUGAGAGCAAUGGUCCAGCUAGGACUGGCCACAAUUCCUGACCACAACUACUAACCCCUACCACACAACUACUGACCACAACUAAUCACCACAACUACACAUCUACUGACCACAACCACACAACUACUGACCACAAAUACUGACCACAACUCCUGGCCACAACUACUAACCACAUCCACACAACUACUGACCACAACCAUAUAACUAACUACUGACAAAAUCCAAACAACUACUGACCACAACCAUAGAACUAUUGACCAAAUCCACAGUACUACUUACCACAACCACACAAUGACUGACCACACAACUACUGCCCACAACCACACAAUUACACAACUACUGACCAGAAAUACUGACCACAACUCCUGACCACAACUACUAACCAGAACCACACAACUACUGACCACAACUUACAACCAUAUAUACUGACCACGUCCACACAACUACUGACCAUAACUACUGACCACAACUAAUCACCAUAACCACAUAUCUGCUGACAACGGCAACUGACCACAAUCACACAACUACUGAUCACACCAAAUAAUCACAAUCACUGACCACAACUACUGACCACAACCACACAGCUACUGACCACAACUACUGACUGUACCUACUGACCACAACUACUGACCACAACCAAACAACUAUUGACCACAACUAAUAACCACAAUUACUGACCACAACCACACAACUAAUGACCACAACCACAUACCUGACAAUAACCACACAACUACUAACUACAACUAAUGACCACAACUACUGACCAAAAUCACACAACUACUGAUCACAACAACACGACACCUGACCACAACAGCACAACUAAUGACCACAACUAUUAAUUUAAACCACUGACCACAAUUUGAAUCGUUUCAGAAAUCUAGUCUAUGUCGCAAGUCAUGACUUCAUAGGAGAGGCGUUUGAACAUUUUUUUAUAAAAGAAAUAAAUCAAAAUGCGUUUUUGGGCAGAAAUACCUUCUUGAACAUUUGAACUUUCAUGUGCCUUAAUAACAAACGUGUAUGCCAUCUGUAAAUACAAAUAAAGUUGUUAAAUUACAAGCCUAAAAAAAGGCAGUAACCUUCCUACUAGCCAUGAUUGACUGAGAUAUGAAUGGGCUGGACAUGCCGAGAGAUGAGUUUCGGAUUGGUCUGCCGUGUAGCAUCUUCUGUCUAUAAAAUAAACUGCUCGUUAUGAGUAGAUAAUCCUUUCUACUGCAUUUCUAAAGAUAUAACGUUAACCAUGGAGAACUGCAAAUGUGUUGCUACUGCUCUUAAUAACAUUGCUGCCCUGAAUUUAUCAGCCGCUAUCGACAAGGGUCAGUGGGAAAAAGUUGUGAUGGACUACUAUCAGGAGGACGAUCGUACCAUGCUGGCUCUCUCUGAUUCUGAAAAUGAAUCAGAAGAUGUGAACCACAGUGACUUGACACAACGUGCCAAGCAAGCUGUUCAAACAAAACGGAAACUACACAGGACGUCUUAUUUAAUGAAAGGGGUUGCAGUCUGCUGUGAAGCGUUCAUCCAUGUAUAUGGCAUCAGUAGAACACGCCUGUCAUAAAAGGAGAAUGGUCUAAUGCCUCCCAUCAAAAAGAGAGCUGGCCCAAGCAAGCACUUGUUCAGAGUGAGCGGUCUGUCGACCAGAAGAUGGUUGCUGACUGCAAGACCACCUGUCAAGACCUGCAGUUGUCUCUGGGGGCACUACUGAACCUGCAAGCAAAGACAUCAGGAAUGCUUUACAGCUUUGAUUUUGCUCAACAAGUGCACUAUUCUUCUGACUCUAUGCAGCCAGGUCACAUCUACUUGUUUGGUGUCUGCUGUGAAGGAAAACCACAACAAGUCAACUACUUGAUUGAUGAAGGCAUGUCAUCCAGCACGGACAAUGCACAGGCAGUCAUCAACUACAUGCACCAUUUCUUCACCGACUAUGGUUAACGUCUACAUCACUAGAGGAACAGAGGAGGAGUAGGAUAAGGGUACGGCUAAAGGCUAUAAGAACUGGUCGUCUAGUGCGUUGGGAACAGAGAAUAAAAGGGACAGAUU